RNAcentral lists this ribosomal RNA (500 nucleotides) under uncultured bacterium. Its description in RNAcentral is "bacterial SSU rRNA". It matches the Rfam family "Bacterial small subunit ribosomal RNA", at positions 899 to 1397 of the family's 1533-position model. The record is from RNAcentral.
ACUCAAAUGAAUAGACGGGGGCUCACACAAGCGGUGGAGCAUGUUGUUCAAUUCGAAGCAACGCGAAGAACCUUACCUGGGCUUGACAUGCAACUAGUAGGAGCCUGAAAGGGCGACGACCCGCAAGGGAGGUUGCACAGGUGCUGCAUGGCUGUCGUCAGCUCGUGUCGUGAGACGUUAGGUUAAGUCCUGUAACGAGCGAAACCCCUGUCGUCUGUUGCCAUCGGGUCAUGCCGGGCACUCUGACGAGACUGCCGGUUUUAAGCCGGAGGAAGGCGGGGACGACGUCAAGUCAUCAUGGUCCUUACGCCCAGGGCUACAAACGUGCUACAAUGGUCGAUACAGAGAGUUGCGAUAUCGCGAGAUGGAGCCAAUCUUCAAAGUCGACCUCAGUUCAGAUUGGAGGCUGAAAUUCGCCUCCAUGAAGUCGGAAUCGCUAGUAAUCGCGGAUCAGACACGCCGCGGUGAAUCUGUUCCUGAGCCUUGUACACACCGCCCGU